Molecule: non-coding RNA, 80 nt
Organism: Podarcis lilfordi (Lilford's wall lizard)
Lineage: Eukaryota; Metazoa; Chordata; Lepidosauria; Squamata; Lacertidae
Source: the annotation of a GenBank genome assembly
GGGGCUAUAGCUCAGGGGUAGGUAGAGCAUCUGUUUUGCAUGUAGAAGGUCUUGCUCAGGUUCAGUCCUUGAUUGCAUCA